Molecule: transfer RNA, 92 nt
Filed under: Daldinia bambusicola
Lineage: Eukaryota; Fungi; Ascomycota; Sordariomycetes; Xylariales; Hypoxylaceae
Description: tRNA-Glu
Source: RNAcentral
UCCGAAUUGGUGUAGUGGCUAACAUUUGACGCUCUCAUGAUUAUCCAGUCAUAGGAUCCGUCAAGCCCGGGGUUCGAUUCCCCGAUUCGGAG